AUGGUCACUUUAGCAUAUAUACUAAAAUUGGAACAAUACAGAGAAGAUUAGCUUGGCCCUUGCACAGGGAUGACACAAAAAUUCAUGAGCAUUCAAAAAAAAAA
This is a small nuclear RNA of Microtus ochrogaster (prairie vole), 104 nucleotides long. The record is from Ensembl. NCBI's taxonomy places the organism in Eukaryota, Metazoa, Chordata, Mammalia, Rodentia, Cricetidae.